Castor canadensis (American beaver) is the source of this 767-nucleotide non-coding RNA. The record is from RefSeq and is a predicted model, not a curated record. NCBI's taxonomy places the organism in Eukaryota, Metazoa, Chordata, Mammalia, Rodentia, Castoridae.
GGAGGAGGAGGAGGAGGAGUAAUAAUAGUCAGGAAUGUAACCUGGGGACGUAGCAGACUCAUUGUUGACCCAUAUCUGGGGCAGGACGCAUGGAAGGAUGUGUGUCAAAUUGUUGGUAGGCUCCAGCCUAAGCCAACUUUGCCGGCCCUUCCCAUCUAUCCACAGGUUGUCUUCUGGCCUUCAUGAAAUGACCAUGGCCCAUGGCUCCUAUUUAUGGCGAAACGAGGCCUGCGUGUGACUUAGAACUCCACUACCGCCUCACAGCCACGGCUCGAAGGGUUUUGCUUCAGCCUUGCCGCCAGCCCUACACCUGGCUUGCUCUGGAGACUUCUGUUCCGAAGAUGAGCUGAGAAAACAGGUUGUUCCACGAGUGUGGCCUGCACCCUCUGAGGUCAUGACCUUCAAGGAGGGAACAGCAGGAAAGGCCUGGACAUCUGUCACAUCCAACAGGUGUCCCACCAAACGGCCAGACAGUACUCCUGCACCCUGGCACUUGGAGCACCCUCAUAUUGUUCACCCUCACAGUAAUAAAGAGGGCUUCUUAACAUGGUUUCCUCAUUAUGAAUUUUGAUGCCACUUGCCUGCAGUCCCAGCUACUUGGGAAACUGAGACUGAAAGAUUGCUUGAGCCCGGGAAUUCCACAUAAGGUAGUGAAAUCCCCUCUCAAAAAAAAAAGCCAAUGUAGACCACUGGAGAUGUGUUCUUGUACACCUGUGCUGGGUACUAGAUGCUGGGUCUCCCCAAAACCUCAAUGUCGUAAUAUCAGA